This 2905-nucleotide ribosomal RNA is filed under the name Escherichia albertii. RNAcentral's name for it is "23S ribosomal RNA". It matches the Rfam family "Bacterial large subunit ribosomal RNA". The record is from RNAcentral. Lineage: Bacteria; Pseudomonadati; Pseudomonadota; Gammaproteobacteria; Enterobacterales; Enterobacteriaceae.
GGUUAAGCGACUAAGCGUACACGGUGGAUGCCCUGGCAGUCAGAGGCGAUGAAGGACGUGCUAAUCUGCGAAAAGCGUCGGUAAGGUGAUAUGAACCGUUAUAACCGGCGAUGUCCGAAUGGGGAAACCCAGUGUGUUUCGACACACUAUCAUUAACUGAAUCCAUAGGUUAAUGAGGCGAACCGGGGGAACUGAAACAUCUAAGUACCCCGAGGAAAAGAAAUCAACCGAGAUUCCCCCAGUAGCGGCGAGCGAACGGGGAGGAGCCCAGAGCCUGAAUCAGUGUGUGUGUUAGUGGAAGCGUCUGGAAAGGCGCGCGAUACAGGGUGACAGCCCCGUACACAAAAAUGCACAUGCUGUGAGCUCGAAGAGUAGGGCGGGACACGUGGUAUCCUGUCUGAAUAUGGGGGGACCAUCCUCCAAGGCUAAAUACUCCUGACUGACCGAUAGUGAACCAGUACCGUGAGGGAAAGGCGAAAAGAACCCCGGCGAGGGGAGUGAAAAAGAACCUGAAACCGUGUACGUACAAGCAGUGGGAGCCCUGAUUUAUCAGGGUGACUGCGUACCUUUUGUAUAAUGGGUCAGCGACUUAUAUUCUGUAGCAAGGUUAACCGAAUAGGGGAGCCGGAGGGAAACCGAGUCUUAACUGGGCGUUAAGUUGCAGGGUAUAGACCCGAAACCCGGUGAUCUAGCCAUGGGCAGGUUGAAGGUUGGGUAACACUAACUGGAGGACCGAACCGACUAAUGUUGAAAAAUUAGCGGAUGACUUGUGGCUGGGGGUGAAAGGCCAAUCAAACCGGGAGAUAGCUGGUUCUCCCCGAAAGCUAUUUAGGUAGCGCCUCGUGAAUUCAUCUCCGGGGGUAGAGCACUGUUUCGGCAAGGGGGUCAUCCCGACUUACCAACCCGAUGCAAACUGCGAAUACCGGAGAAUGUUAUCACGGGAGACACACGGCGGGUGCUAACGUCCGUCGUGAAGAGGGAAACAACCCAGACCGCCAGCUAAGGUCCCAAAGUCAUGGUUAAGUGGGAAACGAUGUGGGAAGGCCCAGACAGCCAGGAUGUUGGCUUAGAAGCAGCCAUCAUUUAAAGAAAGCGUAAUAGCUCACUGGUCGAGUCGGCCUGCGCGGAAGAUGUAACGGGGCUAAACCAUGCACCGAAGCUGCGGCAGCGACGCUGAUGCGUUGUUGGGUAGGGGAGCGUUCUGUAAGCCUGUGAAGGUGGCCUGUGAGGGUUGCUGGAGGUAUCAGAAGUGCGAAUGUUGACAUAAGUAACGAUAAAGCGGGUGAAAAGCCCGCUCGCCGGAAGACCAAGGGUUCCUGUCCAACGUUAAUCGGGGCAGGGUGAGUCGACCCCUAAGGCGAGGCCGAAAGGCGUAGUCGAUGGGAAACAGGUUAAUAUUCCUGUACUUGGUGUUACUGCGAAGGGGGGACGGAGAAGGCUAUGUUGGCCGGGCGACGGUUGUCCCGGUUUAAGCGUGUAGGCUGGUUUUCCAGGCAAAUCCGGAGAAUCAAGGCUGAGGCGUGAUGACGAGGCACUACGGUGCUGAAGCAACAAAUGCCCUGCUUCCAGGAAAAGCCUCUAAGCAUCAGGUAACAUCAAAUCGUACCCCAAACCGACACAGGUGGUCAGGUAGAGAAUACCAAGGCGCUUGAGAGAACUCGGGUGAAGGAACUAGGCAAAAUGGUGCCGUAACUUCGGGAGAAGGCACGCUGAUGGUAGGUGAAGCGACUUGCUCGUGGAGCUGAAAUCAGUCGAAGAUACCAGCUGGCUGCAACUGUUUAUUAAAAACACAGCACUGUGCAAACACGAAAGUGGACGUAUACGGUGUGACGCCUGCCCGGUGCCGGAAGGUUAAUUGAUGGGGUCAGCGCAAGCGAAGCUCUUGAUCGAAGCCCCGGUAAACGGCGGCCGUAACUAUAACGGUCCUAAGGUAGCGAAAUUCCUUGUCGGGUAAGUUCCGACCUGCACGAAUGGCGUAAUGAUGGCCAGGCUGUCUCCACCCGAGACUCAGUGAAAUUGAACUCGCUGUGAAGAUGCAGUGUACCCGCGGCAAGACGGAAAGACCCCGUGAACCUUUACUAUAGCUUGACACUGAACACUGGUCCUUGAUGUGUAGGAUAGGUGGGAGGCUUUGAAGUGUGGACGCCAGUCUGCAUGGAGCCGUCCUUGAAAUACCACCCUUUAAUGGCUGGUGUUCUAACGUAGGCCCCUUAUCGGGGUUGCGGACAGUGUCUGGUGGGUAGUUUGACUGGGGCGGUCUCCUCCUAAAGAGUAACGGAGGAGCACGAAGGUUGGCUAAUCCUGGUCGGACAUCAGGAGGUUAGUGCAAUGGCAUAAGCCAGCUUGACUGCGAGCGUGACGGCGCGAGCAGGUGCGAAAGCAGGUCAUAGUGAUCCGGUGGUUCUGAAUGGAAGGGCCAUCGCUCAACGGAUAAAAGGUACUCCGGGGAUAACAGGCUGAUACCGCCCAAGAGUUCAUAUCGACGGCGGUGUUUGGCACCUCGAUGUCGGCUCAUCACAUCCUGGGGCUGAAGUAGGUCCCAAGGGUAUGGCUGUUCGCCAUUUAAAGUGGUACGCGAGCUGGGUUUAGAACGUCGUGAGACAGUUCGGUCCCUAUCUGCCGUGGGCGCUGGAGAACUGAGGGGGGCUGCUCCUAGUACGAGAGGACCGGAGUGGACGCAUCACUGGUGUUCGGGUUGUCAUGCCAAUGGCACUGCCCGGUAGCUAAAUGCGGAAGAGAUAAGUGCUGAAAGCAUCUAAGCACGAAACUUGCCCCGAGAUGAGUUCUCCCUGAGACUUAGAGUCUCCUGAAGGAACGUUGAAGACGACGACGUUGAUAGGCCGGGUGUGUAAGCGCAGCGAUGCGUUGAGCUAACCGGUACUAAUGAACCGUGAGGCUUAACCUU